This 643-nucleotide long non-coding RNA is filed under the name Citrus sinensis (sweet orange). Its description in RNAcentral is "long non-coding RNA (CSIN_LNC001351)". The record is from RNAcentral. Lineage: Eukaryota; Viridiplantae; Streptophyta; Magnoliopsida; Sapindales; Rutaceae.
CAGAGCUCUCUUUUCUCUCUACUGAACCCCUUCUUGUGUUUUAUCUCCUUAUCUUUACGAAUGAAAACUUGCACAAAUAUAAGCCAAUUCAUUGUUCAUACAACGCAAAACAUUAUAAGAAACAGGAAAAUAUGCGUAUACCAUUAUAGAUACAGCCCUAUCUUGCCCCUGGUCUUGUUAUAUUCACCCCUCCCUUAACUUCAGUUGAUAACAUUUCCCACUUCACAUUGCAUGCACCACCUGUCAUUGAGCAAAAUUCUUGCUUUGCUCAUGAUUAGCCCUCAUUACUGUAUUCCUCUGCACAAAAAUAUUGUUCAGAAAAUCUUAGUAGCAUCCCCAACAAAUCAAUCACAUAAUGGUUUGAUGAAAUUCUAAUUGACCAUCAGCAUAUAAAGAGGCGAGGGCAAUGAGAAAGCAUAACUAACCAGUUUGAUUCCUUUUUGGCACCAUCAUGAUUCAUGAAUCCUGUCCUCUGUUCAGUUUCAUCUCCCACUUCCAUACCACAAGAGACUUGACCGAGGUAAAAACAUGAGGAAUUCUUAUACAUUGCAAGUAAAUAUUAGUUUGCUAUGAAAAUGAAAAGUUUCUUUGAGUGCAGAAGUCAGAGGAAUUGACGCACUUAUGACCAUUACAGUAUGCAGAU